RNAcentral lists this ribosomal RNA (497 nucleotides) under uncultured bacterium. RNAcentral describes it as "partial 16S ribosomal RNA". It matches the Rfam family "Bacterial small subunit ribosomal RNA", at positions 28 to 507 of the family's 1533-position model. The record is from RNAcentral.
GAUGAACGCUGGCGGCGUGCCUAAUACAUGCAAGUCGAGCGAACAGACGAGGAGCUUGCUCCUCUGACGUUAGCGGCGGACGGGUGAGUAACACGUGGAUAACCUACCUCUAAGACUGGGAUAACUUCGGGAAACCGGAGCUAAUACCGGAUAAUAUAUUGAACCGCAUGGUUCACUAGUGAAAGACGGUUUUGCUGUCACUUAUAGAUGGAUCCGCGCCGCAUUAGCUAGUUGGUAAGGUAACGGCCUACCAAGGCAACGAUGCGUAGCCGACCUGAGAGGGUGAUCGGCCACACUGGAACUGAGACACGGUCCAGACCCCUACGGGAGGCAGCAGGGGGGAAUCUUGCGCAAUGGGCGAAAGCCUGACCGAGCAAACCCGCGUGGGUGAAGAAGGUCUUCGGGUUGUAAAACUCUUUUAUUAGGGAAGAAAAAAAGGUGAAGUAAACAAUGCAGUUCUGACGGUACCCAAUCAGAAAGCCACGGCUAACUACGUG